GGCGGGCUUGGGCACCGGUGGGCCUCAUAGGGGAUGGGGGUGGUGACGUCAGGAGGGCCACAGUGAGAGCCGCCUGGUGAUUGGCUGUACAAGCGAGGCCGAGCCAAGAGCCUCCUGAUGAUUGGCUUAGGGUCACCAUGGAAACCCCUGGGUGGAGCUUUGGUGAUGGGCGGGGUCCCAGGGAGAACCCACACCGCGCGACCAACAGCCCGCCUGCUGCACGCCUGAGACCGAGCUGAGAGCCUCCUGAUGAUUGGCUAGGGGACAGCCGUGACGUCAGGAGGAGGCAGUGUGACGCAAGGGGUGGGUAUAAAAGCCAGGGGCCAGUCCCAGGCCUCGCUGAAGGGACAGACGGUGUUACGGGUGGGGCUCCCGCUGCUCAUGGCUGCAUUCUCCGCCCCACAGGACAGCGACCCCCAUCCCACUCGUCCUGCCCAGGGCCUCUCGCACAGAGUGGCCGAAUCCCCCGGACACCAGGCCAGGGGGAGCCCUCCCACCCAGCUUAGCAGAGGGACCCUCCGGCAGUGUCAGGGCACGGAGAGUGUGCAGCCAAGGAACCCGACAAGCUGGCUGCAGAUUUACGGUGAGAGUUGUCAUGAGACGGCUCAGCCGCGUCAACAGUUGGGUGAGAGAUUCCUUUUGAUGAUGGUGUCCGUGUGGGCUUCUGGGGUGAGAAUCCGCAUGUCGGAUCCAAGGAGCUGAUAAGUGCCCGUGUGAUGACACCUCCAGUCAAGGCAGAAGUCAUACCAGUGUCCCCACGUGGAGGGGCCCCGGGGCCAAAUAAAACUCACUCAGCGCCAAUUCCCUAUGGUUCGCCCUUCUUUCAUUUAUUCUUCCCAUGACCCUCCACAUGGGGGCGCUAUGAUUACUCCUCAUUUCACAGAUGAGGAAGUUGUGGCUCAGAGAGGGAAAGCCACCCGCCCGGCGUCACACAGCGAGGCUGAGUUUAGCUGGCCACUCAGGAGAGAUUGAGAGAGAAGCUGGGGAGAUUCCAGCAGGUUCUGGGUGUGUGUGGAGGGGGCGGAGAGAGGGACCAGGAGAAGAAGGGCCUUCUCACGUCCAUCUGUCACUGUGUCUGACGUCCCCUCUGUCUGUACAUUUAGCCUUCAACCGGGUGACGGUUUGAUUGUACGGAGCUAAGAAUAUCUCGGAACAAUGCAAAGUGGCCUCGAGAUGCAGGGAGGCAAGAGGCAGAGAGGGGAGGAAGGAGAGAGAGGGAGGGAAGUCUCGUCCUCACGUGGCCCCCCAGACUCCUCCUGUCGCUUCCACCGACCGCACCGUUCCUGUGUCCCCACGGCAAAAACAAGCCCCCUCUGUCACCAUCUCCCGGUGGAGAAGGCCGUUACUAUAUUUACAGGCGCCGGGCACCUGUGGAGAGGUUUCAAAAUAUGCGUCCUGCCGUCAGAAUUCAGGGUCAAGCUCCCCGUUCCUUGGCUGCCCGGGCCCGUGGCUUCACCUCAUCGGGCCUCAGUUUCUCCAUCCGUCAAGUGGGAUUUGUAAUCCCCCCUCUGAGGGCAGCUGCGAGGAUGAAACGCAUUGGAAGAGGGCCCAGCGCCCUGGGGUCUUUGCUAAAUGUCAGCUGCUGGUGUGGUGGUGGCCAUGGGGGCGUGUGGGACAGAAUUGAAGGACCCCCCCGGGGGGCCCCAGCGUGGGCUGCGGAG
Equus caballus (horse) is the source of this 1661-nucleotide long non-coding RNA. NCBI's taxonomy places the organism in Eukaryota, Metazoa, Chordata, Mammalia, Perissodactyla, Equidae. The record is from Ensembl.